GACGAACGCUGGCGGCGUGCUUAACACAUGCAAGUCGAACGGAAAGGCCCUGCUUUUGUGGGGUGCUCGAGUGGCGAACGGGUGAGUAACACGGGAGUAACCUGCCCUUGACUGUGGGAUAACUUCAGGAAACUGGGGCUAAUACCGGAUAGGAGCUCCUGCUGCAUGGUGGGGGUUGGAAAGUUUCGGCGGUUGGGGAUGGACUCGCGGCUUAGCAGCUUGUUGGUGGGGUAGUGGCUUACCAAGGCUUUGACGGGUAGCCGGCCUGAGAGGGUGACCGGACACAUUGGGAUUGAGAUACGGCACAGCCUCCACCGGGAGGCAGGAGGGGGGAGUAUUGCACAAUGGGCGGAAGCCUGAUGCAGUCAAGCCGCGUGCGGGAUGACGGCAUUGGGGUUGUAAACCGAUUUCGCCUGUGACGAAGCGUGAGUGACGGUAAUGGGUAAAGAAGCACCGGCUAACUACGUG
RNAcentral lists this ribosomal RNA (468 nucleotides) under uncultured bacterium. Its description in RNAcentral is "partial 16S ribosomal RNA". It matches the Rfam family "Bacterial small subunit ribosomal RNA", at positions 28 to 507 of the family's 1533-position model. The record is from RNAcentral.